AUUUAAAUAGCUUAAGAUAAAAGUAUAAUAUUGAAGAUAUUAAGAUAACAAUAUGUUUUUAAAUA
Molecule: transfer RNA, 65 nt
Filed under: Georissidae sp. BMNH 840458
Lineage: Eukaryota; Metazoa; Arthropoda; Insecta; Coleoptera; Georissidae
Description: tRNA-Phe
Source: RNAcentral